GACGAACGCUGGCGGCGCGCUUAACACAUGCAAGUCGAACGGAAAGGCCUGCUUUCCCUUGUGGAUUGCGGGUACUCGAGUGGCGAACGGGUGAGUAACACGUGAGUGAUCUGCCCCCAACUUGGGUAUAAGCCUGGGAAACUGGGUCUAAUUCCCGAUAGGACUGCAGGGUGGUGCCUGUGGUGGAAAACGAUUUUCUAGUGGUUGGGGAUGAGCUCGCGGCCUAUCAGCUUGUUGGUGGGGUAAUGGCCUACCAAGGCGGCGACGGGUAGCCGGCCUGAGGGGGUGGACGGCCACAUUGGGACUGAGAUACGGCCCAGACUCCUACGGGAGGCAUCAGUGGGGAAUAUUGCACAAUGGGCGGAAGCCUGAUGCAGCGACGCCGCGUGGGGGAUGACGGCCUUCGGGUUGUAAACUCCUUUCGACCGCGAGGAAGCCACCUGGUUGGAAGGGUGGUGACGGUAGUGGUAGAAGAAGCACCGGCUAACUACGUG
Molecule: ribosomal RNA, 494 nt
Filed under: uncultured bacterium
Lineage: Bacteria
Description: partial 16S ribosomal RNA
Rfam family: Bacterial small subunit ribosomal RNA
Source: RNAcentral